CCGUGUACAAGUCUCCUGGAAGGGAGCGUCAUAGAGGGUGAGAAUCCCGUCUUUGACACGGACUACCAGGGCUAUGUGAUGCGCUCUCGACGAGUCGAGUUGUUUGGGAAUGCAGCUCAAAACGGGUGGUAAAUUCCAUCUAAAGCUAAAUACAGGCGAGAGACCGAUAGCGAACAAGUACCGUGAGGGAAAGAUGAAAAGAACUUUGGAAAGAGAGUUAAACAGUACGUGAAAUUGCUGAAAGGGAAACGCUUGAUGUCAGUCACGUCGCUCGGGGAUCAACCUUGCUUCUCGCUCGGUGUACUUCCCGCUCGAUGGGUCAGCAUCAGUUUCGCUCGCCGUACAAGGGCAAAGGGAACGUGGCACUCUUCGGGGUGUGUUAUAGCCUUUCGUCGCAUGCGCCGGUCGGGACUGAGGAACUCAGCACGGCUUCCGUCUGUGCUCAGGAUGCUGGCAUAAUGGCCUUAAGCGACCCGUCUUGAAACACGGACCAAGGAGUCCAACAUGCCUGCGAGUGUUCGGGUGUCAAACCCGAGUGCGUAAUGAAAGUGAACGUCGAGACCUCUGUCAUGGAGGGCACCGACGCCCGGACCUGAGUCUUCGACGACGGAUCUGCGGUAGAGCAUGCAUGUUGGGACCCGAAAGAUGGUGAACUAUGCCUGAAUAGGGUGAAGCCAGAGGAAACUCUGGUGGAGGCUCGUAGCGAUUCUGACGUGCAAAUCGA
RNAcentral lists this ribosomal RNA (724 nucleotides) under Anthracoporus nigropurpureus. Its description in RNAcentral is "eukaryotic LSU rRNA". It matches the Rfam family "Eukaryotic large subunit ribosomal RNA", at positions 175 to 901 of the family's 3401-position model. The record is from RNAcentral. Lineage: Eukaryota; Fungi; Basidiomycota; Agaricomycetes; Boletales; Boletaceae.